RNAcentral lists this ribosomal RNA (1416 nucleotides) under Horelophus walkeri. Its description in RNAcentral is "SSU rRNA". It matches the Rfam family "Eukaryotic small subunit ribosomal RNA", at positions 430 to 1762 of the family's 1831-position model. The record is from RNAcentral. Lineage: Eukaryota; Metazoa; Arthropoda; Insecta; Coleoptera; Hydrophilidae.
AGGCGCGCAAAUUACCCACUCCCGGCACGGGGAGGUAGUGACGAAAAAUAACGAUACGGGACUCAUCCGAGGCCCCGUAAUCGGAAUGAGUACACUCUAAACCCUUUAACGAGGAUCAAUUGGAGGGCAAGUCUGGUGCCAGCAGCCGCGGUAAUUCCAGCUCCAAUAGCGUAUAUUAAAGUUGUUGCGGUUAAAAAGCUCGUAGUCGAAUCUGUGUCCCGCGCCGCCGGUUCAUCGCUCGCGGUGUUUAACUGGCGUGUCCGCGGGACGUCCUGCCGGUGGGCUUAGCUCUUCGCGGGGCGGCCCAACUUCAAAUCCCACCGCGGUGCUCUUCACUGAGUGUCGAGGUGGGCCGGCACGUUUACUUUGAACAAAUUAGAGUGCUUAAAGCAGGCUAAAACUUCGCCUGAAUACUGUGUGCAUGGAAUAAUGGAAUAGGACCUCGGUUCUAUNUUGUUGGUUUUCGGAACCCCGAGGUAAUGAUUAAUAGAAACGGAUGGGGGCAUUCGUAUUGCGACGUUAGAGGUGAAAUUCUUGGAUCGUCGCAAGACGGACAGAAGCGAAAGCAUUUGCCAAAAACGCUUUCAUUGAUCAAGAACGAAAGUUAGAGGUUCGAAGGCGAUCAGAUACCGCCCUAGUUCUAACCAUAAACGAUGCCAGCUAGCGAUCCGCCGACGUUCCUCCGAUGACUCGGCGGGCAGCUUCCGGGAAACCAAAGCUUUUGGGUUCCGGGGGAAGUAUGGUUGCAAAGCUGAAACUUAAAGGAAUUGACGGAAGGGCACCACCAGGAGUGGAGCCUGCGGCUUAAUUUGACUCAACACGGGAAACCUCACCAGGCCCGGACACCGGAAGGAUUGACAGAUUGAGAGCUCUUUCUUGAUUCGGUGGGUGGUGGUGCAUGGCCGUUCUUAGUUGGUGGAGCGAUUUGUCUGGUUAAUUCCGAUAACGAACGAGACUCUAGCCUGCUAACUAGGCGUAUUUUCGACAUCUCAAAGGCCCGCCGGCCCGGCGCUCUUGUGUCGCGGUCGCGCGCGGUUUUUACUGUCGGCGUACAAUCAAUUCUUCUUAGAGGGACAGGCGGCUUCUAGCCGCACGAGAUUGAGCAAUAACAGGUCUGUGAUGCCCUUAGAUGUUCUGGGCCGCACGCGCGCUACACUGAAGGAAUCAGCGUGUCCUCCCUGGCCGAGAGGCCCGGGUAACCCGCUGAACCUCCUUCGUGCUAGGGAUUGGGGCUUGCAAUUGUUCCCCAUGAACGAGGAAUUCCCAGUAAGCGCGAGUCAUAAGCUCGCGUUGAUUACGUCCCUGCCCUUUGUACACACCGCCCGUCGCUACUACCGAUUGAAUGAUUUAGUGAGGUCUUCGGACCGGUACGCGGUGGCGCACCCGCGUCGCCGAUGUUGCUGGGAAGAUGACCAA